UGAAUAGUUUGGUGUUAUCAUAGAUCAUCAACAGUGUGAUUCCACAGAUAGCAUCCACACUGAUCCAUACAGAGACUGCGUAUGGGGCUUGGACAGAACUUCAAGAGAGGUACAAACAAAAAAUGCCCCUAAAAAAAGCCAGUUAAGGUAUGAGAUCAAUACUUUAAAUCAAUCAAGUGAUACUGUCUCAGUGUUUUUUGAUAAAUUCAAGUCUUUAUGGGAUCAAUUCAUAGAGAUAGAAAAACCCGAUUGUAAGUUUUGUCCUUCUUGCAUACCAAUUUAUAAUAAAAAAUUGAAAAAGAUAGAAUUCAUCAAUUCUUAUUAGGAUUGAAUAAUGAUCAAUUCAUGACUCUUAGGAGUCAAAUAUUAGCCUACCCUGAGCUUCCCUCGAUGAACCAAGUAUUUUGGUUAGUCAUACAAGAAGAGAAGCAUAAAACCAAUUUUAGGGAAAAAUUGGGUGGGGAAGCAAUUAACUGCAUUAUUUGCCAAGAAAACAGAAAAAGAAGAAAGAAGAGGAACCUAAGAAAAAAAGGGUAUACAGAAAAAAUGGUAAGAAAUUAGAUACUAGGUUCUAUUGUGACAGUUGCAAUUUUUUUGGUCACACUAGAGAACAGUGUUUUCAUAUAAUAGGAUUUCCAAAUGAUAAGAAGAAAUUCAGAAAAGAUAAAAGGAUGACUUUAAGAAAACAGAAACAACAAACCAAGCCUCUACAUCCAUGGAUAUGCAAGGUCUGUCCAAUGAAGAAUUGAUGAUGCUUAAGGAUUUUUUAAACAAAUCCUUAUGUAUGAGUUUUUCUUUAUAUAUGUCAAAUUUUGAAAAUGCAUAGAUUAUAGAUACUGGAGCUUCCCAACACAUGACUGGGAAUAUCCAUAUUUUUGAUAAAACCCCAAUUGAAGGUCAUGAGCAUUAUGUCACCAUACCAAGUGGUGAAAAAUGUAAAGUGACUUCAGUUGGGGAUAUAACCAUAACUAAAGAUAUUACACUCAAAAAUGUCUUAUAUAUUCCCGAAUUCAAGGUUAAUUUAAUUUCAGUAAAUAGAUUAACCCUUGAUUCGGAUUUAAAUAUCAUUUUUGAUAAGAUUAAGUGUGAUUUUCAGGAAAGCAAAUCAGGGAAAGUGAUUGGACAGGGUAGAUGUCAAAAUGGACUCUACUUCUUGAAGCCUAUAUCACCUGAUUUUGCACAUACAGCCAUGGAUUUGCAAAUUUGGCAUAAAAGGUUUGGGCACCUAUCUUUAGAAAAGAUGAAGAUGCUUGUCAAAGACAACAAGAUAGAGUGCAAAUCCAUUACAAAUACAAGAUCAGAUUAUGAAAAUGAUUGUAAUAAAGUAG
Molecule: long non-coding RNA, 1328 nt
Filed under: Zostera marina
Lineage: Eukaryota; Viridiplantae; Streptophyta; Magnoliopsida; Alismatales; Zosteraceae
Description: long non-coding RNA (ZMAR_LNC002995)
Source: RNAcentral